This 559-nucleotide ribosomal RNA is filed under the name uncultured bacterium. Its description in RNAcentral is "bacterial SSU rRNA". It matches the Rfam family "Bacterial small subunit ribosomal RNA", at positions 338 to 916 of the family's 1533-position model. The record is from RNAcentral.
CCUACGGGAGGCAGCAGUGGGGAAUCUUGCGCAAUGGGCGAAAGCCUGACGCAGCCAUGCCGCGUGGAUGAUGAAGGUCUUAGGAUUGUAAAAUCCUUUCACCGGUGAAGAUAAUGACUGUAGCCGGAGAAGAAGCCCCGGCUAACUUCGUGCCAGCAGCCGCGGUAAUACGAAGGGGGCUAGCGUUGCUCGGAAUUACUGGGCGUAAGGGAGCGUAGGCGGACAUUUAAGUCAGAGGUGAAAUCCCGGAGCUUAACUUCGGAACUGCCUUUGAUACUGGGUGUCUUGAGUGUGAGAGAGGUAUGUGGAACUCCGAGUGUAGAGGUGAAAUUCGUAGAUAUUCGGAAGAACACCAGUGGCGAAGGCGACAUACUGGCUCAUUACUGACGCUGAGGCUCGAAAGCGUGGGGAGCAAACAGGAUUAGAUACCCUGGUAGUCCACGCCGUAAACGAUGAUUGCUAGUUGUCGGGAAGCUUGCUUCUCGGUGACGCAGCUAACGCAUUAAGCAAUCCGCCUGGGGAGUACGGUCGCAAGAUUAAAACUCAAAGGAAUUGACGG